GUCAUUUCUUCCUCUGGACAGUACUGUUGUCUUCGAAAUAUGCAACAGCGUGUCGCAAACAGGGUUCCGAGUCACAAAACCAGCUGGGUCUUCUUGAGUUGAUCAGUCAGUCAUGAACAUAGUGCACAGCGUGAUGCAGUGUUUGUGUCACAGCCUGCAGGCCCUGAGGCGGCCAGAGGAGCGGCGAGGAGCGGAGCGGCCGGGAGCGCGGAGGCGGCCGCUGUCCCCCGAGCGGCGGCACGCGGGGAGCCGGGCCGCGCGGCGCCUCCCUCCUGCGCCUGGCCGCUGCGCUGCGCUGGGCGGCGGCGCUCCGUCAG
RNAcentral lists this long non-coding RNA (317 nucleotides) under Gallus gallus (chicken). The record is from RNAcentral. Lineage: Eukaryota; Metazoa; Chordata; Aves; Galliformes; Phasianidae.